RNAcentral lists this microRNA (24 nucleotides) under Gossypium hirsutum (cotton). RNAcentral describes it as "ghr-miR7490". Lineage: Eukaryota; Viridiplantae; Streptophyta; Magnoliopsida; Malvales; Malvaceae. The record is from miRBase by way of RNAcentral.
AGUCUAGAAAACUUCACUGACGGU